GUAGGUGGGCAAGCGUUGUCCGGAAUUAUUGGGCGUAAAGCGCGCGCAGGGCGGUCCUUUAAGUCUGGGUGUGAAAGCCCACGGGCUCAACCGUGAGGGUCAUUGGAAACUGGGGGACUUGAGUACAGAAGAGGAAAGCGGAAUUCCAAGUGUAGCGGUGAAAUGCGUAGAGAUUUGGAGGAACACCAGUGGCGAAGGCGGCUUUCUGGUCUGUAACUGACGCUGUGGCGCGAAAGCGUGGGGAGCAAACAGGAUUAGAUACCCUGGUAGUCCACGCCGUAAACGAUGAGUGCUAAGUGUUAGGGGGUUUCCGCCCCUUAGUGCUGCAGCUAACGCAUUAAGCACUCCGCCUGGGGAGUACGGCCGCAAAGGCUG
This 375-nucleotide ribosomal RNA is filed under the name uncultured organism. Its description in RNAcentral is "partial 16S ribosomal RNA". It matches the Rfam family "Bacterial small subunit ribosomal RNA", at positions 526 to 896 of the family's 1533-position model. The record is from RNAcentral.